CCCAGCUUCAUCCUGCUCCUGUUCAUCCUGGUUUCCAGCUUGAUCCUUGCAGGAACGGUUCUUGCUUACUACAUCAGGCGCCGGAUCCUGCAUGCCCAGCUGAUGAAGGGGCCCAACAAGAUCAUUCUGACCAUGGACGACUUGACGUUCAUCCACACCCAGAGCAGCAACAAAAAGAUGGACGAUAGCCGCACGAGCCUGGCGGGGAAGAGCGUCUCCGACAUGAGGAGCUUCAGAAGCCUGGCAGCCGCCCCCGACAACACCAACGUGGCUGUCGCUGAGGUAACC
RNAcentral lists this long non-coding RNA (288 nucleotides) under Gopherus agassizii (Agassiz's desert tortoise). RNAcentral's name for it is "lncRNA (ENSGAGG00000018290.1)". Lineage: Eukaryota; Metazoa; Chordata; Testudines; Testudinidae. The record is from RNAcentral.